This 328-nucleotide ribosomal RNA is filed under the name uncultured eukaryote. RNAcentral describes it as "partial 18S ribosomal RNA". It matches the Rfam family "Eukaryotic small subunit ribosomal RNA", at positions 1470 to 1796 of the family's 1831-position model. The record is from RNAcentral.
CCCUUAGAUGUUCUGGGCUGCACGCGCGCUACACUGAAGCGUUCAACGAGUAUUCACCUUGCCCGGGAGGGUUGGGUAAUCUUUUGAAAACGCUUCGUGAUGGGGAUAGAUUAUUGCAAUUAUUAAUCUUCAACGAGGAAUUCCUAGUAAGCGCGAGUCAUCAGCUCGUGCUGAUUACGUCCCUGCCCUUUGUACACACCGCCCGUCGCACCUACCGAUUGAAUGGUCCGGUGAAAUCUUCGGAUCUGAGAGAUGUCUGAUUAAUUUCGGACGCCUUUUGGAAAAGUUGCUUAAACCUUACCAUUUAGAGGAAGGUGAAGUCGUANCA